Long non-coding RNA from Acanthopagrus latus (yellowfin seabream), 1527 nucleotides. RefSeq lists it as uncharacterized. The record is from RefSeq and is a predicted model, not a curated record. The transcript is spliced from 3 exons. Lineage: Eukaryota; Metazoa; Chordata; Actinopteri; Spariformes; Sparidae.
AGAUUCUUUCAGCGUGGAGGAGGAGGAAGAAGAAGAGUUUGGGAGCAAUGCUGCUGAGGACUCUGAGGAGGAUUAUGAUAAUUUGGAGGGAGUGUACAGUGUUGCAGAUGACCCCCCUGGCAGCCCGCCUGCAGCGUUCUUGUACACCAUGUCCGUCAAGAAGAAGAAGAAGAGAACACCGGAUCCAGAGUGAACUUGAUUUCACCAUCAGUUUAAUGGAUAACAGUGCAGAUGUUGUUGUUGCAUUGAUGGAUUGUACUUUGUAUUGAACACAUUCAGUCUGACGCAUCUGCUCUCUGUUGUUUCUGCUGUCCAAAGCACAUAUUCUUGGCUUAGUACGAUAUUAUGUGCUUUUCAAGUAAAAGUCCUGCAUAAAGAGGCACAAGUGUCCACUGUGAAUGUGUUCAUACAUAUUUCAUUGUUGUUAAUGACUGAUAGUUAUAAUCAUUGUUGGUUGUCAUUCAUUGACUUUUGCUGUAGAGGACAAAAAAGCCACUUCACAAACCUGUUUCCUCUUUCUUCUUUUUUGCUAUUAUUUGUGAAACAUAGUAGAAUUUUACCUCUCUCGGCAUCAAGUCUUAUUUAAAUAAUCCCAUCUGAGGAGUUUAUGUAGAGUACAUGCUUAUCAUGUGUUGCUUCAACUGCUAUAAUAUUAAUCUGCAUAUUAAAUGUGCACUGUGUAGUUUCUUCUGUGUUUCGUCUCGUCAAAGUUCCCUGAAAAUGUGUAAAUAUGGUGGAGUGAAACGCACAAUAUUUCUCCCUGAAUUUGGAGAAAAUUGACUUAUUUAAGAUUUCCACCAAUCAAACAUGAUCUGUGGAUGAUGACUACAGGCACAGAAUUAAACUACAAAAGCUGUUUUAUCUAACAAGUUAUAUAUGGAAAUAUUAAAUGAUGCCAUUGUUAAAACAGGUAGUUGUGCUAUUUUAUCUGGAUGCUUUUCAGCACUUUUUAGCCAAAACGUCCUGAAAGAGUGAAGUUUACACAUGGAUGAUGACUUGCACUUCAUAUGUGGGCCAUCAUUGUUUAUUUGAUUGUUUUAUAAUGAUUGAACACUGUGCAGCCGCCUGCACUUAUUGUCCCAGUGUACCCUUAUGAAAGUUUAACCAAAGUCUUCUGUGACCUUAUCUGAUAAGAGAAAAGGACUGUAAUGAUUCACUACAUUCUUUACUGCUGCAGCUCCUUUAGGAAAUACAGCAGAGCAGAAUGAAGUUAACGCUUUGAGGGAGAGGGAGCAGCUGUGCAUUGCUGUAAAAUAAAAUUAGAGAAAUAAAAAUAAAAACCUUCACUGGGGCUAAAACUGUUUUUAAAAAGAUUUUCGCUGUCAUCUCCCAAUCUGAACAUGUGAGGUCACCUUACUUGCAAUGAGCAUUUCUAAAAAGCUUGCUCUGGUUUAUUAUAUUAUUAUAAUAUUAUUAUUAGGGUUUAUUUGCUACACAUGAUAAGAAAACUGCACUGCAAAUUCAGCGGGGGCUCUGGUAUGCAACCUAACCAUAAUCCCCUGCUGCACCUCAAGGGAAGGAACUGUA